This 76-nucleotide transfer RNA is filed under the name alpha proteobacterium QL1. RNAcentral's name for it is "tRNA-Thr". It matches the Rfam family "tRNA". Rfam says of the family: Transfer RNA (tRNA) molecules are approximately 80 nucleotides in length. The record is from RNAcentral. Lineage: Bacteria; Pseudomonadati; Pseudomonadota; Alphaproteobacteria; Candidatus Pelagibacterales; Candidatus Pelagibacteraceae. RNAcentral also lists the same sequence under 1 other name.
GCCCCCUUAGCUCAUUUGGUAGAGCAACUGAUUUGUAAUCAGUAGGUGGCCUGUUCGAAUCAGGCAGGGGGCACCA